UACGUAGGGUGCGAGCGUUGUCCGGAAUUAUUGGGCGUAGAGGGCUCGUAGGCGGUUUGUCACGUCGGGAGUGAAAACUCGGGGCUUAACCCCGAGCCUGCUUCCGAUACGGGCAGACUAGAGGUAUGCAGGGGAGAACGGAAUUCCUGGUGUAGCGGUGAAAUGCGCAGAUAUCAGGAGGAACACCGGUGGCGAAGGCGGUUCUCUGGGCAUUACCUGACGCUGAGGAGCGAAAGUGUGGGGAGCGAACAGG
This 253-nucleotide ribosomal RNA is filed under the name uncultured bacterium. Its description in RNAcentral is "partial 16S ribosomal RNA". It matches the Rfam family "Bacterial small subunit ribosomal RNA", at positions 524 to 776 of the family's 1533-position model. The record is from RNAcentral.